This 257-nucleotide unclassified non-coding RNA is filed under the name Hevea brasiliensis (rubber tree). Lineage: Eukaryota; Viridiplantae; Streptophyta; Magnoliopsida; Malpighiales; Euphorbiaceae. The record is from RNAcentral.
GCUUGGUGGGGAUAAUGAGUCUGAUGCUACUAUUGACAAUGCAUUGGCCUACAACAGCAAUCUCAUGCUCCAUGUGCUAAAUGGUUCUGGGCCGCCAAGCCAACCAAAGAUCCCCAUUAACACUUAUAUCCGUGAGUUGUUCAAUGAAGAUCUUCAUUCUGGUGUUAAUUCUGAGAAGAACUGGGGGAUAUCCUUUCCGAAUGGGACAUUGGUGUAUUCUCUAGAUUUUGUAACGGUAAAUGAGGUUAGUGCUGAAU